RNAcentral lists this ribosomal RNA (664 nucleotides) under uncultured bacterium. Its description in RNAcentral is "bacterial SSU rRNA". It matches the Rfam family "Bacterial small subunit ribosomal RNA", at positions 1 to 663 of the family's 1533-position model. The record is from RNAcentral.
GGCUAGAGUUUGAUCAUGGCUCAGGAUGAACGCUGGCGGCGUGCCUAACACAUGCAAGUCGAACGGAGUUGUUUAGGAAGUUUCCUUCGGGAGACGGAUUUCUCAACUUAGUGGCGGACGGGUGAGUAACGCGUGAGCAAUCUGCCUUUAGGAGGGGGAUAACAGUCGGAAACGACUGCUAAUACCGCAUGACACAGCUGAGAGGCAUCUCUUGGCUGUCAAAGGAGCAAUCCGCCUUUAGAUGAGCUCGCGUCUGAUUAGCUAGUUGGCGGGGUAACGGCCCACCAAGGCGACGAUCAGUAGCCGGACUGAGAGGUUGAACGGCCACAUUGGGACUGAGACACGGCCCAGACUCCUACGGGAGGCAGCAGUGGGGAAUAUUGCGCAAUGGGGGCAACCCUGACGCAGCAACGCCGCGUGAGUGAAGAAGGCCUUCGGGUUGUAAAGCUCUUUAAUCAGGGACGAAAAAAUGACGGUACCUGAAGAAUAAGCUCCGGCUAACUACGUGCCAGCAGCCGCGGUAAUACGUAGGGAGCAAGCGUUAUCCGGAUUUACUGGGUGUAAAGGGCGCGCAGGCGGGCUGGCAAGUUGGGAGUGAAAUGCCGGGGCUUAACCCCGGAACUGCUUUCAAAACUGCUGGUCUUGAGUGAUGGAGAGGCAGGCG